This 77-nucleotide transfer RNA is filed under the name Clostridium sp. RNAcentral describes it as "tRNA-Glu". It matches the Rfam family "tRNA". Rfam says of the family: Transfer RNA (tRNA) molecules are approximately 80 nucleotides in length. Their secondary structure includes four short double-helical elements and three loops (D, anti-codon, and T loops). Further hydrogen bonds mediate the characteristic L-shaped molecular structure. tRNAs have two regions of fundamental functional importance: the anti-codon, which is responsible for specific mRNA codon recognition, and the 3' end, to which the tRNAs corresponding amino acid is attached (by aminoacyl-tRNA synthetases). tRNAs cope with the degeneracy of the genetic code in two manners: having more than one tRNA (with a specific anti-codon) for a particular amino acid; and 'wobble' base-pairing, i.e. permitting non-standard base-pairing at the 3rd anti-codon position. Lineage: Bacteria; Bacillati; Bacillota; Clostridia; Eubacteriales; Clostridiaceae. The record is from RNAcentral.
GACUCGUUGGUGAAAACGGUUAACACACAGGCCUUUCACGCCUGGAUUUGAGGGUUCGAAUCCCUCACGAGCCACCA